This is a long non-coding RNA of Falco peregrinus (peregrine falcon), 972 nucleotides long. RefSeq lists it as uncharacterized. The transcript has 4 exons. Lineage: Eukaryota; Metazoa; Chordata; Aves; Falconiformes; Falconidae. The record is from RefSeq and is a predicted model, not a curated record.
UUCGUGUUUGAAAGAAAUGGACUCUAGAACUUUCUGGAAAAUAACUAAAUAGAGAUCUGUCUACCUUUCUAUUUAGCUAACGACAGUUUUCUCUGCUGUUGUAGCCAUGUGGUUUAUCUGUCAAAACAGCUGGGAGCACAGACACUUUUUAAGCUGAAUCCCUCCCGUUGAACUGAGCCUGAGCUGUCCUUCCUCCGCCCAUCUACCACUUCACCACAGCUUUCAUCCUGCCUACACAGGCUCUUCCCACCCCCUGCCCCGAGGAGUUAGCUUUCUAGUUGCAUUGGAAAAUCAGAGGAGUCUGGUAAGAGAAGCCAAAAUCUGCAAGGACUGUGAAAGCUGCCUUCCUCCUGGUCUCCUACUGAUUGUCCCUUGUGUGAUGUUGCAUCUUAUGGAAUGGCAUCGUUCCUCUAUUUUCUCAACAAUCCCACCCCAGCUAACCACAGUUUUCAUCAUGGGCAUUUCACCCAUUUGCGGUUUCUUUUCCUGACUUCGUAUUAAAUCAAGAAACAACGCACUUCUCCAGGAGAAGCACAUCACCCAUUCGGAGGGUUCAGCCAGCGAAGGGGCAGCUGAAACAUCCAAUUCAGUCACAGGUCGGGCAGCGACACAACAUGGCACCCAGCCUCUUCCCUUGUGGACCUGCCUCCCCUCCGCAGCAGGGCACCGACCCGGGCCCACCCCAAGGACUGGUGGUGGGUGGCAUUGGGAAGGCACGGGCUGGGGGUGCAGGGAGAAAGGGGCAGCCAGGCCUGCCCCGGGGCUGCCCUCGCCUAGCCCUACGGUGCCACCGCAGGGCCUAGGGGGCCCUGUCCCCUCGCCAGCGCCAGCCAGGCCUUCACGGCGCCGUUCUCACAGCAGAUUUUAGAAAACAUUCCCUUACAAUAUAAUAAAAAUAUAAGCACAAUAAAAGUUACACGCCAGUCCGCCCCGCGACAGACCCGUCCUGCAACACACGCGAAGGCCAUCAGG